Molecule: long non-coding RNA, 703 nt
Organism: Hippocampus comes (tiger tail seahorse)
Lineage: Eukaryota; Metazoa; Chordata; Actinopteri; Syngnathiformes; Syngnathidae
Exons: 2
Source: RefSeq, a predicted model, not a curated record
GCGCACACAAAGGAAAAAAAAAACUCAUCGUCCCCUUUUCAGCGCAAUGGUGGCACGUGAUGGACAAAUGUGAAACAGGAUGUCAAAAAAGGAGAAGUCUUGCAGUCCGUCACAGUUCAAAGCGCGAUGUCAAGUCAUCAAAAUGCACCGCGGGCAAAAUCUGGGAAGGGAAACACUCAGACGUCACGGAGCGGCACUUCUCUCUUCAUGAAACGAGAAAGAGGAAGGAAGAGUGCUCAAUCAGCUUUCUUAUUUGCUUUUGUUUUGUUUUUGUUUUUUUUCUCAAUGGCCAUCGCACCAUUGGGGAAAUUCUUCGUCCUUUCCGCCUACUUUCCACUGUCGACUGUCACUUCUGCAUUUCUGGCGCGUGACCUUUUGAAGUGAGUGAACUCUCCAGCCGCCGGUGCUCCUAUUAUAAUUACCCCUUAAUUAUCCGCGGCUUAAUUGGAUCGCUGCCUCGCUGUUCGAACACUGUAAAAGUCACAAGGCGAUGAUGGAUGCGGUGAGUGAGCGAGCGAGCGAAUGAGUGCUCCUUCACCUCCCCCCCUGAGGGCGGCAAACAAUGGCCGGAAAGAGCGGAGACGGCGGCGGGUGAGGAUUCAAGAGCCAGGAUGUCAGGACAAGGAAGUGGCCAAACUCUCGCCAGAAACAGCCGUGACAACCGCACAUGCGCUUGACACUUGAAUGCCCCAAAAAAAAAAAA